Molecule: regulatory RNA element, 120 nt
Organism: Paenibacillus sp. 32O-W
Lineage: Bacteria; Bacillati; Bacillota; Bacilli; Caryophanales; Paenibacillaceae
Rfam family: pan motif
Source: Rfam
CGGGCGGUAUCGCAUGUCGCCGAACUGCACCGUCGUGUUAUGGGGUAUGAUACAGGUUAAUAAGAAGUAACUGCAGGCAUUGCGCACUCUGCUCUGAGCCGUAGGGACCGAGACAGAAGG